Molecule: ribosomal RNA, 305 nt
Filed under: uncultured bacterium
Lineage: Bacteria
Description: bacterial SSU rRNA
Rfam family: Bacterial small subunit ribosomal RNA
Source: RNAcentral
UUGGGUCUACGGGAGGCAGCAGUGGGGAAUACUGCACAAUGGGGGGAACCCUGAUGCAGCAAUGCCGCGUGGGUGAAGAAGCACUCCGGUGCGUAAAGCCCUGUCAGCAGGGAAGAAAAUGACAGUACCUGGACAAGAAGCCCCGGUUAACUACGUGCCAGCAGCCGCGGUAAUACGUAGGGGGCAAGCGUUAUCCGGAUUUACUGGGUGUAAAGGGAGCGCAGGCGGCGUGGCAAGUCAGAUGUGAAAACCCGGGGCCCAACCCCGGGAGUGCAUUUGAAACUGCCAUGCUGGAGUGCCGGAGG